Molecule: ribosomal RNA, 426 nt
Filed under: uncultured cyanobacterium
Lineage: Bacteria; Bacillati; Cyanobacteriota
Description: bacterial SSU rRNA
Rfam family: Bacterial small subunit ribosomal RNA
Source: RNAcentral
UGGGGAAUUUUCCGCAAUGGGUGAAAGCCUGACGGAGCAACGCCGCGUGAGGGAUGAAGGCCUCUGGGCUGUAAACCUCUUUUAUCAAGGAAGAAGAUCUGACGGUACUUGAUGAAUAAGCCACGGCUAAUUCCGUGCCAGCAGCCGCGGUAAUACGGGAGUGGCAAGCGUUAUCCGGAAUUAUUGGGCGUAAAGCGUCCGCAGGCAGCCCUUCAAGUCUGCUGUUAAAAAGUGGAGCUUAACUCCAUCAUGGCAGUGGAAACUGUUGGGCUUGAGUGUGGUAGGGGCAGAGGGAAUUCCCGGUGUAGCGGUGAAAUGCGUAGAUAUCGGGAAGAACACCAGUGGCGAAGGCGCUCUGCUGGGCCAUCACUGACGCUCAUGGACGAAAGCCAGGGGAGCGAAAGGGAUUAGAUACCCCUGUAGUCA